GACGAACGCUGGCGGCGUGCUUAACACAUGCAAGUCGAACGGAAAGGCCCUGCUUUUGUGGGGUGCUCGAGUGGCGAACGCGUGAGUAACACGUGAGUAACCUGCCCUUGCCUUUGGGAUAACUUCAGGAAACUGGGGCUAAUACCGGAUACGAGCUCCUGCUGCAUGGUGGGGGUUGGAAAGUUUCGGCUGUUGGGGAUGGACUCGCGGCUUAUCAGCUUGUUGGUGGAGUAUUGGCUUACCAAGGCUUUGACGGGUAGCCGGCCUGAGAGGGUGACCGGCGACAUUGGGACUGAGAUACGGCGCAGACUCCUACGGGACGCAGCAGUGGGGAAUAUUGCACAAUGGGCGGAAGCCUGAUGCAGCAACGCCGCGUGCGGGAUGACGGCCUUCGGGUUGUAAACCGCUUUCGCCUGUGACGAAGCGUGAGUGACGGUAAUGGGUAAAGAAGCACCGGCUAACUACGUG
RNAcentral lists this ribosomal RNA (468 nucleotides) under uncultured bacterium. Its description in RNAcentral is "partial 16S ribosomal RNA". It matches the Rfam family "Bacterial small subunit ribosomal RNA", at positions 28 to 507 of the family's 1533-position model. The record is from RNAcentral.